This 245-nucleotide ribosomal RNA is filed under the name uncultured bacterium. RNAcentral's name for it is "partial 16S ribosomal RNA". It matches the Rfam family "Bacterial small subunit ribosomal RNA", at positions 103 to 334 of the family's 1533-position model. The record is from RNAcentral.
CGGGUGAGUAACGCGUAAAUAAUCUACCCCUGCAUUUGGGAUAACCCACCGAAAGGUGAGCUAUACCGGAUACGUUCUUUUGGUCGCGAGUCCGGGAGAAGAAAGGUGGCCUCUGAUAUAAGCUACUGUGCAGGGAGGAGUUUGCGUACCAUUAGCUUGUUGGUAGGGUAAUGGCCUACCAAGGCGACGAUGGUUAGCGGGUCUGAGAGGAUGAUCCGCCACACUGGAACUGGAACACGGACCAG